RNAcentral lists this non-coding RNA (29 nucleotides) under Rattus norvegicus (Norway rat). Lineage: Eukaryota; Metazoa; Chordata; Mammalia; Rodentia; Muridae. The record is from RNAcentral.
UGACAGCUGAUGGCCUUAUCUGAGAAACC